Serinus canaria (Common canary) is the source of this 2495-nucleotide long non-coding RNA. RefSeq lists it as uncharacterized. The record is from RefSeq and is a predicted model, not a curated record. NCBI's taxonomy places the organism in Eukaryota, Metazoa, Chordata, Aves, Passeriformes, Fringillidae. The transcript is spliced from 2 exons.
UGAACAAUCCAGGGAUUAAAAAAGCUGCUCAACCUCUUGUAACUGAGGCUCUUUAUUCCUUUGACCUUCAGGUUUGUGCUGCCCUGGGAGUUCUGUGAUAGCACAAGAGAGAAUUCUGACCCGUGACUUGGUAUCACCAGGACACUUAAAAAAAAUUUAAAAAUUUGUUUUCUUGUUGAAAAACAUGAAAUCUCCAUGGAAGAACUUCAAGGAAGUGCCUGAAUCCAAUUUGCUGAUGAGGAUCAGAUGGAGAUUUUCACCAAGAGGAGAGUCAAACUAAGGCCAGUGCCCACACAAUGUGGACUUGAAGAGACAGAAUUAAUGCUUGGAAAAAGUCUCUGCAAAGGGAAAAAUUAAAUCGAAUUCUAAAAGCAGAAACAUCCAGUUGAUAUAAUCAGAACAACACAAAUGCAGAGGAAAUCAGUCUGGAAUCCAGAAGCUUCAGCACAAGGUCAUGGAAUGUGAAGCAGAAAUAGGAAAUGAGCACCAGAAAUCCACCAGCAGCUGGGGGCAGCUGCUCUUUGGAGCCACAUGCCACAACUAUCUCCAACUCAGACUCUCUUCAAAGGCCACAGGAGCAGCUUGUAGGUAAGAUGACAUGAAUAAUUUUGAUUUGGGUAUAUCCUAAAAUUAAAGGCAUUCAAAAGUCCAAGUUUUGGCCCAGACUCAGGAGUUCAGAGCUGCUCCCUUUGCACACCCAUUUUUCUGCAGUAGCAGCUCCCUGAAUAACCACACACAAGGACAGAUGUUUAAAUCAGAUAAAAUUUCAUAUUUAACAUGAAAAUAAGAGUACUGAGAGGCAACUGCAGCUGUUUGAAUUUCAAAUAGAUCCCAAAGGGCUGCACAUCAGCCUCCUGACACAGGUCACUGUCCUGGCAGUGUUUUACUGCCAGCACAGGCAGGGCACAGAGAUUGAACACAUGGAUUGAGAUGAAGGAAGGUAAGAAAGAUCACUGAUUUUAUUACAGACCAGACAGAGUCACAUGUGACACAUCCUUUGGAAGAAAAAUAUUCCACACGAGUGGAAAGCCCACAGCUACAGCACUUGGAAUUGGAAACCAUUACAUGUGAGGGGCCAAAAUUCAGCAUUUCUAGCCAUGAGCUACUUACCAGACUCAUGCAGCCCCAAAGCCCAGUGCUCACAGCUGGGUAAUGCCACCAUCACAUUUUCCACACUCCCAGCUUUUCAAAACCUCUCCACUGAGGCUGAGAGUUUCCAUGCUUGGUGUCAGACCAAGCCACAGCUUUGGAAUUUCUCUUGGUUGAUGUGAAAUGAGGGAAAAUCAAUUUUUGUUUAGGUCAGAACCAGAGAUGCUUUUACCCACCAAAACCACAAAACCCUCAAGUCAACCAAUACCAAAUUGUUGAACCAACUGCUUUUUAACACCUCAUUCCACUAAUCUGCUUCUCUGGGUAUAAAACAAUUAAAAAAAAAAUUUAAAAGAUAAAAUUCUGCCUCUUGGAGACUUUGUUCUUACUGAGCAUGAAAAUGAUUUCUUACCCUGUCAAUCUAAGAGUGCCAACAGAGCUGCUGUGGCCAGAUCCUCACGUGGCAGGAACCACUCAAUCCUUUCCCUAGUAAAGGACACAAAAGUUUUCAAAGAAGUUACUCAGCAUUUUGAUUUCCCACUUCAGGAGCUCCACUCCUACAGCACAAAGCAUUUCUGUGCUCUGCACCUCCUGAACCAUACUGGCUCCUUGAAUUUGGAGUUCAGUGCCAUUAACCAUUUAAAAUCCACCAAACCAUUUCUCUGGGGGGCAGCAUUCCCUCCUCCUGUGUGUUUAUUCCACAACUCAGAUGUUCUGCAUGUUGAACAAGAAGCUGCAAAAGAGAUCAGUCCAAACUCAUGUCAAACUGCUUUAUUACAUCUUAAAUAACAUUACAUUUUAAUAUAGUAUCUAUCUUGCAUCCAGCUUUCUUGAAGUACACUGACUUUAAAAUUAAAUACAAAAGGUGAAGAGGGAUACAGGGCGUGGAGAAAGCUCUACAGAGUAGUUUCAUGAAAGAGAGUAAGAGGGAACUCAUCUUUUAUGCCAAAUCCAGGCCUAACGCACAAUUACAGCACAUUUUUGUACAGAAUGUUGCAGAAAAAACAAAAUGGAGAAAAGCUACUACUGCUGCUAGGAAGGAGCAUUUCUGGAUACAGUGAGAAGAUAGGAAAGAACAAUCUGCUGUCCAAACACUGCUGCUUUUAACAUUUUAUUUGAAAAGAAAGCCAGGAAAACCUGCUCAUUACAAAAAUGACUCUGAUCAGAUGCAAAGGACUCAUCCUGCAAGAGGAACUGGCUGUGAGGAACUGAUUUAUAAAGAAGAUGGUCUAGGUUCCCUCCUCCCACACCCCAGAAUCUUUGACAGCGAUUGUUUGAACAGGCUGUUUCUUUUUUUGUUUUUUUCUUUAAAAAAAAAAAAAAGUGACUUAUCACGCUACUCCAAAACGUGCAUAGCUUUGUACUGGAGUUCUUCAUAGAUUUAUGCACAGAGUAGCAACAAUAAA